GGACAUAAGGGUCAUCUGGCUGCGACAUCUCUCACUCCACUGAUGGCCAGGAUUGACUUGGUUGCUCUGGCUGGCUAGGCAGGUGGCCCCUUCCUCCCUCAGUACUCCAUGUGUGUCUUUCCUGAAGCUGCAUGCUUGGUCAAAGAGGACAAACACCCCAGAUAGAGGAGAAUCAUUCCUUGAUCAAAGGUGUACGAGUAGCUGCACUCUCCUGCUAGAAGCUCCAAACAAGCUCUCAAAUUAUGUAUUUAAUGUUUUCAGAUAUUAUUUUUCUUAUUUCCUAUUAUUUGAAAUAGACUCAACCUAGAAUUCCAUU
This 316-nucleotide small nuclear RNA is filed under the name Octodon degus (degu). Its description in RNAcentral is "7SK RNA (ENSODEG00000024780.1)". It matches the Rfam family "7SK RNA". Rfam says of the family: 7SK was discovered as an abundant small nuclear RNA in the mid-70s but a possible function has only recently been suggested. The record is from Rfam by way of RNAcentral. Lineage: Eukaryota; Metazoa; Chordata; Mammalia; Rodentia; Octodontidae.